UACAGAGGUCUCAAGCGUUGUUCGGAUUCAUUGGGCGUACAGGGUGCGUAGGCGGCGCGGUAAGUCGGGUGUGAAAUCUCGGAGCUUAACUCCGAAACUGCAUUCGAUACUGCGGUGCUUGAGGACUGGAGAGGAGACUGGAAUUCAUGGUGUAGCAGUGAAAUGCGUAGAGAUCAUGAGGAAGACCAGUGGCGAAGGCGGGUCUCUGGACAGUUCCUGACACUGAGACACGAAGGCCAGGGGAGCAAACGGG
This 253-nucleotide ribosomal RNA is filed under the name uncultured bacterium. RNAcentral's name for it is "partial 16S ribosomal RNA". It matches the Rfam family "Bacterial small subunit ribosomal RNA", at positions 524 to 776 of the family's 1533-position model. The record is from RNAcentral.